AGAAGGAAAGGAAAAAAAAAAAAAGAAAAAAAAAGAGAAGGAAAAAUAAGUAAAUAAAAAAGACGUAGAAGAACCCAGAUUCCAAAUGAAUGAAAACGUGACUGAAUUGGUCCCGGUCACUCUUCGGGACGGAAUGGAAGAGGGGAGGAGAUUCUCAAACGA
Molecule: long non-coding RNA, 162 nt
Organism: Cucurbita moschata (crookneck pumpkin)
Lineage: Eukaryota; Viridiplantae; Streptophyta; Magnoliopsida; Cucurbitales; Cucurbitaceae
Exons: 3
Source: RefSeq, a predicted model, not a curated record